CAGCCGCCGCGGUAAUACAGAGGGUGCAAGCGUUAAUCGGAAUUACUGGGCGUAAAGCGCGCGUAGGUGGUUCGUUAAGUUGGAUGUGAAAUCCCCGGGCUCAACCUGGGAACUGCAUCCAAAACUGGCGAGCUAGAGUAGGGCAGAGGGUUGUGGAAUUUCCUGUGUAGCGGUGAAAUGCGUAGAUAUAGGAAGGAACACCAGUGGCGAAGGCGACCACCUGGGCUCAUACUGACACUGAGGUGCGAAAGCGUGGGGAGCAAACAGGAUUAGAUACCCCCGUAGUCCCUGUCUCUUAUCC
Molecule: ribosomal RNA, 301 nt
Filed under: uncultured bacterium
Lineage: Bacteria
Description: partial 16S ribosomal RNA
Rfam family: Bacterial small subunit ribosomal RNA
Source: RNAcentral